GCCGGCAGCUAGCUCUCUGCAACUCUCAUGGUGGUCACCCACUGAAGCUAAGCAGGGCUGAGCCUGGUCAGUACCUGGAUGGGAGACCACAUGGGAAAGCUAGGUUGCUGCCGGAA
Molecule: ribosomal RNA, 116 nt
Filed under: Danio rerio (zebrafish)
Lineage: Eukaryota; Metazoa; Chordata; Actinopteri; Cypriniformes; Danionidae
Source: RNAcentral